Molecule: unclassified non-coding RNA, 647 nt
Filed under: Nilaparvata lugens (brown planthopper)
Lineage: Eukaryota; Metazoa; Arthropoda; Insecta; Hemiptera; Delphacidae
Description: uncharacterized LOC120349936, transcript variant X2
Source: RNAcentral
AUCGGGUAAAUAUUUUAAAGCAUGAUGGUAAAACUGAUCAGUCUGGACGCCUCUGAAAACUAGGAGAGCGAUCAUUCUAAUCCCAGCUGUCAUAGUGUUAACUGUUUCUUGAGAGUUUCUUUCAAUCUCCAGUAAUGUUUUCGUUUGGGGGUACAUUCUCAUUCUCUCCAGGAGAAUUCAAUUGAUUGUCCAAGUAAAUCGGUCAUCUUUUGAAGUAACUUAAAAUUCAAUUAUUGUAAUUUAGAAGUAAAGUCCCCCUUAUAGAAUAUACUAAUGUGAUAGCUUGAAUUAGGAUGACGAUUGAUUCCCUCUAUACUUCGGAUCUUCAAUACCCCUUUUGGGUUUCUGUAUCGGGCCGAGAAUUUCCAUUGUAAAAGGGCCGGCGACUUCUUCCAACCAUGGAUGGAAUCGUACGUCAUUGAACGCUGAUGAGGAGAGAACAAGACUAACUCCCUUUUGGAUCUGUCGCCGCGACGCCUGAUCAUUCCUGGAGGACAACCAAUCAUCUUCACCCUUCAUCCAUCUCCGCCAGGGACUCCGGACAUCGCGACGACAACUCUACAAGAUGAGUACCUUAUCUUUCCCCAUCGGAAUUCAAUGUGUCCCUUAAAUUUUGGUCUCUUAACCUAGCUCCGCAGUGCAGGCUG